This 503-nucleotide ribosomal RNA is filed under the name uncultured bacterium. RNAcentral's name for it is "bacterial SSU rRNA". It matches the Rfam family "Bacterial small subunit ribosomal RNA", at positions 28 to 545 of the family's 1533-position model. The record is from RNAcentral.
GAUGAACGCUGGCGGCGUGCUUAACACAUGCAAGUCGAACGAUGAAGCCAGCUUGCUGGGUGGAUUAGUGGCGAACGGGUGAGUAACACGUGAGUAACCUGCCCUUGACUCUGGGAUAAGCCCGGGAAACUGGGUCUAAUACCGGAUAGGAGCGCCUGUCGCAUGACGGGUGUUGGAAAGAUUUUUCGGUCAUGGAUGGACUCGCGGCCUAUCAGCUUGUUGGUGAGGUAAUGGCUCACCAAGGCGACGACGGGUAGCCGGCCUGAGAGGGUGACCGGCCACACUGGGACUGAGACACGGCCCAGACUCCUACGGGAGGCAGCAGUGGGGAAUAUUGCACAAUGGGCGGAAGCCUGAUGCAGCGACGCCGCGUGAGGGAUGACGGCCUUCGGGUUGUAAACCUCUUUCAGCAGGGAAGAAGCGAAAGUGACGGUACCUGCAGAAGAAGCACCGGCUAACUACGUGCCAGCAGCCGCGGUAAUACGUAGGGUGCGAGCGUUAUC